RNAcentral lists this ribosomal RNA (235 nucleotides) under uncultured bacterium. RNAcentral describes it as "partial 16S ribosomal RNA". It matches the Rfam family "Bacterial small subunit ribosomal RNA", at positions 542 to 776 of the family's 1533-position model. The record is from RNAcentral.
UGUUCGGAAUUACUGGGCGUAAAGGGCUCGUAGGUGGCCAACUAAGUCAGACGUGAAAUCCCUCGGCUUAACCGGGGAACUGCGUCCGAUACUGGAUGGCUUGAGUUCGGGAGAGGGAUGCGGAAUUCCAGGUGUAGCGGUGAAAUGCGUAGAUAUCUGGAGGAACACCGGUGGCGAAGGCGGCAUCCUGGACCGACACUGACGCUGAGGAGCGAAAGCCAGGGGAGCAAACGGG